RNAcentral lists this transfer RNA (73 nucleotides) under Propionibacteriales bacterium. RNAcentral's name for it is "tRNA-Thr". It matches the Rfam family "tRNA". From Rfam's summary of the family: Transfer RNA (tRNA) molecules are approximately 80 nucleotides in length. Their secondary structure includes four short double-helical elements and three loops (D, anti-codon, and T loops). Lineage: Bacteria; Bacillati; Actinomycetota; Actinomycetes; Propionibacteriales. The record is from RNAcentral.
GCCCCAGUAGCUCAGUGGCCAGAGCAAUCGCCUUGUAAGCGAUAGGUCGUCAGUUCGAUCCUGACCUGGGGCU